AAAGUCCAUUACGAUGAAGGACUAGCGAUCCACAUUGGCCCCGAGUCAUGCGCGGGCAGUCGUGAGGCUGUACGUGAAGUGUUGACAGGGGAGCAUGCAGGCCAGCCAUUGAGCCGCGAAAGACUGGACAUUUCGGGUGCCGACGCUUUCCACCUAUGCGGAAGGCAAUAUGAACGGACACGUUAUCGCAAGUGGCCGUUUGACCUGGCGCGGUCGGAGACCC
This 223-nucleotide non-coding RNA is filed under the name Rhizobium mongolense. The record is from RNAcentral. Lineage: Bacteria; Pseudomonadati; Pseudomonadota; Alphaproteobacteria; Hyphomicrobiales; Rhizobiaceae. RNAcentral also lists the same sequence under 1 other name.